AUUCCAGACUCCUACGGGAGGCAGCAGUGGGGAAUAUUGCACAAUGGGGGAAACCCUGAUGCAGCGACGCCGCGUGAGUGAAGAAGUAUUUCGGUAUGUAAAGCUCUAUCAGCAGGGAAGAAAAUGACGGUACCUGACCAAGAAGCCCCGGCUAACCACGUGCCAGCAGCCGCGGUAAUACGUAGGGGGCAAGCGUUAUCCGGAUUUACUGGGUGUAAAGGGAGCGUAGACGGCUGUGCAAGUCAGAAGUGAAAGCCCGGGGCUCAACCCCGGGACUGCUUUUGAAACUGCGUGGCUGGAGUGCAGGAGAGGUAAGCGGAAUUCCUGGUGUAGCGGUGAAAUGCGUAGAUAUCAGGAGGAACACCAGUGGCGAAGGCGGCUUACUGGACUGUAACUGACGUUGAGGCUCGAAAGCGUGGGGAGCAAACAGGAUUAGAUACCCCGGUA
Molecule: ribosomal RNA, 447 nt
Filed under: uncultured bacterium
Lineage: Bacteria
Description: bacterial SSU rRNA
Rfam family: Bacterial small subunit ribosomal RNA
Source: RNAcentral